AUUUCUUCCGGGUCAUCUCUUCCCAGUUACUAGACGAGAGGACAGGGGUAAGGACUGGGAAGGGCAGCAACCGGUUUGUCUUUGCCGGACGAGCGCUGCCUAAACCGGCUAGUCGUGAACCCGAAAUCGGUGUUUUUCUCUGAUGAAUGGUUCGCUGGUCCAGAGUGGCAGAGAGAAACGAAAAAAUACCACGCGGAGACUUGUAUUGGUCAGCUGGAGCAAGAUAGACAGUGUGCUAGGAUGUGAAGAUGGUGAUCAAAGUGUGCAGAGUUCCUGCAGUUCCAUAUGCUGAAAAAAGCUCUAUUCAGCUCUUGAUAUGGAUUCUCGAGUGAUGAAGUACGGGUCAACAAAGCUUGGUAUCCAUGGAGCUCCUCAAUGAAGGAGCAGAUUGUUCCAAAAGUGGAGGUUGCUCAGAAGAAAAAGACUAAGCAGUGGAAUUGGACACAGGGAUACUGGUGAGAGAAGUGUGCAGAGUUCCUGCUCCACCUGUUGGAGAAAGCAGAGAGCAACUUUGAGCUCACGACAGUGGGCUAGGAUGCGAAGAUGGUGAUCAAAGUGUGCAGAGUUCCUGCAGUUCCAUAUGCUGAAAAAAGUAAAAAGUGUAUUUUAAGGAAGUUUCAUGUCAAAUGGAUUAGCAAGAAGUGUGAUCUGACAUAUUAAAAUAAACUGCACCACUGGGGUGACUUUCUUAGGACACCUUUGGAAUUUCCAUGAAACUGAUUUAAGAAUUCUGAGCAGCCAUGGAUCGUGAUAUGGAGUCUCCAGUGAUCAAGUACGGGUCAACAAAGCUGUGUUUUAGUAUUCAUGGAGAUCCUCACAGAGAAGGAGCAGAUUGUUCCAAAAGAAGAGGUUGCUCAGAAGAAAAAUGUAAUUCAACUAGGGGAAUUAAGUACUAAGCAGUGGAAUUGUACACAGGGAUACUGGUGAGAGAAGUGUGCAGAGUUCUUGUUCCACCUGUUGGAGAAAGCAGAGAGCAACUUUGAGCUCAAGGAUUGUGAUAUGGAUUCUCCAGUGAUCAAGUACAGGUCAACAAAGCUGUGUUUUGGUAUUCAUGGAGAUUCUCACAGAGAAGGAGCAGAUUGUCCCAAAAGAAGAGGUUGCUCAGAAGACAAAAGUUUCCAGGAUGAUUGGUGCAGGGGAAUAAAACAAACGUAGUGCAUAAAAUAAAAACAAAUCAAGUAACCA
This is a long non-coding RNA of Polyodon spathula (Mississippi paddlefish), 1185 nucleotides long. RefSeq lists it as uncharacterized. The transcript is spliced from 10 exons. NCBI's taxonomy places the organism in Eukaryota, Metazoa, Chordata, Actinopteri, Acipenseriformes, Polyodontidae. The record is from RefSeq and is a predicted model, not a curated record.